This 492-nucleotide ribosomal RNA is filed under the name uncultured bacterium. Its description in RNAcentral is "bacterial SSU rRNA". It matches the Rfam family "Bacterial small subunit ribosomal RNA", at positions 338 to 823 of the family's 1533-position model. The record is from RNAcentral.
CCUACGGGAGGCAGCAGUGGGGAAUUUUGGACAAUGGGCGAAAGCCUGAUCCAGCAAUGCCGCGUGCAGGAAGAAGGCCUUCGGGUUGUAAACUGCUUUUGUACGGAACGAAACGGUCUGCUUUAAUACAGUGGGCUAAUGACGGUACCGUAAGAAUAAGCACCGGCUAACUACGUGCCAGCAGCCGCGGUAAUACGUAGGGUGCGAGCGUUAAUCGGAAUUACUGGGCGUAAAGCGUGCGCAGGCGGUUAUAUAAGACAGUUGUGAAAUCCCCGGGCUCAACCUGGGAAUUGCAUCUGUGACUGUAUGGCUAGAGUACGGUAGAGGGGGAUGGAAUUCCGCGUGUAGCAGUGAAAUGCGUAGAUAUGCGGAGGAACACCGAUGGCGAAGGCAAUCCCCUGGACCUGUACUGACGNUCAUGCACGAAAGCGUGGGGAGCAAACAGGAUUAGAUACCCUGGUAGUCCAGCCCUAAACGNUGUCACUGUGUGGU